Molecule: ribosomal RNA, 231 nt
Filed under: uncultured Thiobacillus sp.
Lineage: Bacteria; Pseudomonadati; Pseudomonadota; Betaproteobacteria; Nitrosomonadales; Thiobacillaceae
Description: partial 16S ribosomal RNA
Rfam family: Bacterial small subunit ribosomal RNA
Source: RNAcentral
UCGCGUGACAAACCGGAGGAAGUGGGGAUGACGUCAAGUCCUCAUGGCCCUUAUGGGUAGGGCUUCACACGUCAUACAAUGGUCGGUACAGAGGGUUGCCAAGCCGCGAGGCGGAGCCAAUCCCACAAAGCCGAUCGUAGUCCGGAUUGUUCUCUGCAACUCGAGAGCAUGAAGUCGGAAUCGCUAGUAAUCGCAGGUCAGCAUACUGCGGUGAAUACGUUCCCGGGCCUU